Molecule: long non-coding RNA, 3381 nt
Filed under: Xyrichtys novacula (pearly razorfish)
Lineage: Eukaryota; Metazoa; Chordata; Actinopteri; Labriformes; Labridae
Source: RNAcentral
AGCGCUCGGAUUCAUGCUCGGGUCUUGCUACGUGCUGCAAGAGUAAAGUAAACAAUGAUGGAGGCAGAGAGCAGCUUUGGAGGAGAAACAUCUAGCAGUGUGAACAACCUCUUCAGGAGAGCCCUAAAGACCUACCUUUUUCAUAAAGCCUUUGGUUAGUUUUCCUCUAUGCUUUAUGCUUUUACUACCUUGCCUCUUACAUUGCAACUCUAUAUUUUUUAUUUUUUUUAAUUAUUUUUUUAUGCCAAUCUGUGACUGUCAUUCUAUUGCUUUUUUAUUGUUGCUGCUCUUUUUUUUACUGUGUACUGUAGCACUUUGAGAUUUUUUGUAAAUGUAAAGCGCAUUACAAAUUAAAUUUAUUAUUAUUAUUAUUAUUAUUAUUAUUAUUAUUAUUAUUAUUAUUAUUAUUGUUAUUAUGGAGUGCUUUGGCUCACACUAUCGCUGUUUUCUGUGAGUGUUGCAUAACUUUGGGUGAGCACAGACAUGAACACACUUCAGCCACGUACUUAUUUAUUCAUUUUGCUAGUUUUAAGUGCUGGUCUUGUACUGGUACUGUACUAGUGCAGCUGUAUACACUUAAAUUUUUCAUAGAACUGAAAGCAUACCAUAGCUAUAUCGUGAUAUAUAUCGUUAUCGUGAUAUAAAAUGAUCCAUAUCGUGAUAUACAUUUUUUUACAUAUCGCCCAGCACUAUGCUGAUGUGUAUCGAUGUAUUCUCUAAACAUGCUUGUGUGAGGCUUCUAAGAAACAAAUCAGGACCCGUUGUCGCAAGUGCAUUUAAAGACAUUCUAAGAGACGGACGCAUUCCGACAAAAGUCCAAAUGGAUGCUGGUACCGAGUUUUAUAACAAGCAUUUUAAAACUCUGCUGCAUCAGUAUGACAUCAUCCAUUUUUCCACAUCAAACGAGACCAAGGCCAACGUAGUUGAACGUUUUAACAGAACUUUCAAGACGCGUAUGUGGAGAUACUUGACAUCCAUCAACUCACAGCGAUAUAUCGACAUAGUCCAGGACCUUGUUGAAGCGUACAACAAAACUUAUCAACGAUCGAUAAAAAUGGCACCUGCUGCCGUUAAUAAAGACAAUGAGAAAACAGUCUUCAGCAAUCUCUACAAGGGGAAACCACAAAAAAUGGUACACUUUAAAUACUAUAUAGGGGACAACGUGAGAAUAUCCAAACUCCGUGGCAUGUUUAGAAAAGGCUAUGAGCAGACUUUCACGGAUGAAUAUUUUACAAUAACUGAACGCAUAGCCAGGGACCCUCCCGUAUACAGACUAAAGGAUUGUGGAGGCAAGGUUGUAAGGUAGGUUUUAUGAACCAGAGUUACAGAUGGUCAUUAUUGAUGACAACAAAGUAUUUAAGAUAGAAAAAAUAGUAGCUAGAAAAACAGCGGGGCGGAAAAAAAUUGUGUUAGGGAAAUGGCUGGGGUGGCCGGACAAAUUCAACUCGUGGCUUAACGAAGAAGAUGUGCAAUAAAUGGGCGAGUCAUCUCUGUUUACCAUCAUAUCAGACGCUGGUGCUGCAUAGCGACGGAACAAAAUGGACAAGAAGAAUACGGGAUUCUUUGUGACGCUGCCUAGUAAUGCCUCGGCUCAUGUAUAUCCCACUAACAAGAUAUGGAACUACAGGACGAAGUUAGCUAGACCCAUCAUACUGACUGAGCCUUAUGAGGUGGGAUUGAUCGAGAUCCAAUACCCCAGAGUUUGGAACAGUUUCCAAAUCAAAGAUGCAGAUGUGAUUGUCCAAAAUUAUAAAACAAAACAGCCUUUGACAAUCUCCAUGUCACCCGGUUUUUAUGACUCGAUACCCAGAUUAGUUAAAAAAGUCAAUUCACGCUGUGUACAGCAUCAAGCAUGCGCUAACAUAAGCAUGCAUUACAGCAAUGUUACAAAUUUAAUUUAUUUUACGGGUGCUGAGGGAAAUACUUUCACAUUUAAAGGCAGACUAGCCGAAAUACUUGGCUUUAACCCAGGGCAACCGCUUUCAAUGUCUGAAAUCUAUGGUACGCGAAAACAAAUGCAAGCACCUCACCCUGCAGACAUUCAUGGUGGAAGCUACAAUAUAUUUGUGUAUAGUGACAUUGUGGAUUACCAGCUAGUGGGUGAUAGUCAUGUACCGCUUUUAAGCUGUAUAAAUGUGUCCGACGAUGGACGUCGCAUGCCCACUCUGACUUAUGACAAGCCACACUACACAUCUCUCUCCAAGUCAACUAUUGAUGAUAUAGAGAUUUCGUUAAAAAACAACCAGAAUAAAUAUAUACCAUUUUCUUACGGGAAAGUAGUAGUAAAAUUACAUUUUAGACUGCUGCGGGAGAAAAUUUAACAGAAAAUGUUACGCACCCCAUACGCGAGCAAUGAUGCAAGAUAUGUGACUUAUUAUAUGAACCAGGCCGGCGGGGAGCUACCCGGUUUUAUAGGAUCGAGUACACAAUAUGGUCAAGGCCUCAGAGGCAUAUUUCGUAAUCUAUUUAGAAUGGCGGUACCGGUGUUUAAAAAAGGAUUUUGCAUGGCUAUGCCACAUUUAAAAACCGCUGCCACGAAUAUUAUGGGUGAUGUUGUGUCCAACAAAGCGAGAAACACGGUGUCUAAAAAACAAGACAUAAACAGAUUGUUGGUGUUCACACGGAAGAGCGCGAAAAGACCUCCUUCCGGAAGUGGGCAUUCCGUCGAACACAUUAAAAGGCGGAAAACAAAGGGAAAAACAGUAAAAAAGAAAGCAACCAGCAAAGCCUGCAGAGCAAAGUGUGGGCAGGAGGGACGGACAGAGAGACAUAUUCUAAGCUGAGAAAAAAUCUACAACAAUGUCGCUAAUACAUGAGCAGUCGGAUGAAUGUGUGAAAACAGAGCUGGAUCUAUUCACCGUACCGUACACCCAGACCUCUAUUGAAAAAUCAACUUUUGUGGAAAUUUCACCAGUUUCGGCAAUUACCGACACAGGCCCAAUAGAAUUCUACAUAUCGGCAAGUGGUGAAGACUACCUUGAUCUGAAUGACUCUUAUCUGUACACCCGUGUGAAAAUCACAAGAGCGGAUGGAGCAAAUCUGGCAAACGGCGUGGAUGUGGGUUUUAUAAAUUAUCCGGGAUGUACACUCUUCUCGCAAGUGGCUAUAAUGCUGGGAGACAGACUAAUAACACAAUCCUCCAAUACCUAUCCAUACCGAGGGAUAAUUGAAUGUUUAAUCAACUAUUCAGGCGACACAUUGGAUACACAGUUUGCCACGGGACUGUUUAGCAAAGAUACAGGGGAUAUGAAUAAUUCUUCAAUAUUGGGGAAUGACAGAGGCCUUGCAGCGAGAGGACGAUACACAGGAAUGGGACGCAUUGUCGAAUUAAUUUCACCGAUACAUGCCGAUUAGUUUUUUCAAGAGAAGCUGAUGCUCAAC